CCCAGAGCAGGAUAGAUCCCAGACCAGGAAGAGAAGGAAACAAAGAAUUUCCGCCCACUAAUGGCUGGCCCCAAACACUUCUUUUUUCCAUGGUUGGGAUUGGUUUGGCAGAUCUCGUCUCUUCCUCUGUGCAUGCAGUGGGCACACAUGAAGAACGUGGCCUCCACAAAUGCCCUGUCGCCCAGAACCAGAGCCACUGAGCCCUUUGAGGGAUGCAUAAGAACUGUGUUCAUCUUUGAAAAUGGUCCCCCCUCCAAAUCCUACUGUCUGACCUCCUGCCCAAAGCUCUCAGACUGCCCCCCUCCCAGAACAGAGCAGAGCAGAGCAGGCCUAGGGAUGUCCUGACUUGGACUGACUCCAAGAUGUCACCAGUGGACCAAAGCUUUCCCAGUUAACCUUGGCCUUGGAGGGUGAGAGGUCACAGAAAUAAGCGAGACCAGGAGUCAGACAACCUAGGUCCAAAUCCCCCUCUGCUUCAUGCCUGACUGAGGGUGUUGGAGAAGUCCCUUUACCUCUCCUGGCCUCAUUAUCCCUCAUCAGGGAACUGGAGCUAAUUGCUGAUUUGUGCUUGAAAUUAAAGAAAGGGAGGUUACCACAGAAACUGGCGCUAAGGUGGCGUUUUGCUGAAUUUAUGGAUCGGCUAAUUUAUGGACCACAGACUGUCUGCUCUACCCAGGCCCUUUCUACUUAGGGGGAAACUGAGGCUGGGAGAAGGGAGGCAACCUGCCAAGAGUUGGUGGCGAGUGGCAGCAAUGCCCAGACUUGAAUUCCAGCCCAAUGUUUAAGUUCCUCAGUGCAGGCUAUCAAAGACAGCCAAUUCCAGAAGGGAGAUCAAAGGCCUGCUUCCUUAUUUACAAAGAGAAGUCCUAAUUAAAACAUGGCCAACGGCUGAGGCGGCUAUGGAGAUGGGCCACGUGUGCGCCAACAGAGAAUUCACCAUCCCAGACUGCGCUGAGCAGCAAGGGAGCCGUUCAGUGAGUCUGUGCUAGGGAGAGCCAGCCCGAGGGUGGGGUUAGUCAG
Rhinopithecus bieti (black snub-nosed monkey) is the source of this 1020-nucleotide long non-coding RNA. NCBI's taxonomy places the organism in Eukaryota, Metazoa, Chordata, Mammalia, Primates, Cercopithecidae. The record is from Ensembl.